RNAcentral lists this ribosomal RNA (763 nucleotides) under uncultured Streptococcus sp. Its description in RNAcentral is "bacterial SSU rRNA". It matches the Rfam family "Bacterial small subunit ribosomal RNA", at positions 28 to 776 of the family's 1533-position model. The record is from RNAcentral. Lineage: Bacteria; Bacillati; Bacillota; Bacilli; Lactobacillales; Streptococcaceae.
GACGAACGCUGGCGGCGUGCCUAAUACAUGCAAGUAGAACGCUGAAGGAGGAGCUUGCUUCUCCGGAUGAGUUGCGAACGGGUGAGUAACGCGUAGGUAACCUGCCUGGUAGCGGGGGAUAACUAUUGGAAACGAUAGCUAAUACCGCAUAAGAGUAGAUGUUGCAUGACAUUUGCUUAAAAGGUGCAAUUGCAUCACUACCAGAUGGACCUGCGUUGUAUUAGCUAGUUGGUGGGGUAACGGCUCACCAAGGCGACGAUACAUAGCCGACCUGAGAGGGUGGUCGGCCACACUGGGACUGAGACACGGCCCAGACUCCUACGGGAGGCAGCAGUAGGGAAUCUUCGGCAAUGGACGGAAGUCUGACCGAGCAACGCCGCGUGAGUGAAGAAGGUUUUCGGAUCGUAAAGCUCUGUUGUAAGAGAAGAACGAGUGUGAGAGUGGAAAGUUCACACUGUGACGGUAUCUUACCAGAAAGGGACGGCUAACUACGUGCCAGCAGCCGCGGUAAUACGUAGGUCCCGAGCGUUGUCCGGAUUUAUUGGGCGUAAAGCGAGCGCAGGCGGUUAGAUAAGUCUGAAGUUAAAGGCUGUGGCUUAACCAUAGUACGCUUUGGAAACUGUUUAACUUGAGUGCAAGAGGGGAGAGUGGAAUUCCAUGUGUAGCGGUGAAAUGCGUAGAUAUAUGGAGGAACACCGGUGGCGAAAGCGGCUCUCUGGCUUGUAACUGACGCUGAGGCUCGAAGGCGUGGGGAGCAAACAGG